AAGUCGAACGGUAACAUUUCUAGCUUGCUAGAAGAUGACGAGUGGCGGACGGGUGAGUAAUGCUUGGGAACUUGCCUUUGCGAGGGGGAUAACAGUUGGAAACGACUGCUAAUACCGCAUAAUGUCUUCGGACCAAACGGGGCUUAGGCUCCUGCGCAAAGAGAGGCCCAAGUGAGAUUAGCUAGUUGGUAAGGUAACGGCUUACCAAGGCGACGAUCUCUAGCUGUUCUGAGAGGAAGAUCAGCCACACUGGGACUGAGACACGGCCCAGACUCCUACGGGAGGCAGCAGUGGGGAAUAUUGCACAAUGGGGGAAACCCUGAUGCAGCCAUGCCGCGUGUGUGAAGAAGGCCUUCGGGUUGUAAAGCACUUUCAGUUGUGAGGAAAAGUUAGUAGUUAAUACCUGCUAGCCGUGACGUUAACAACAGAAGAAGCACCGGCUAACUCCGUGCCAGCAGCCGCGGUAAUACGGAGGGUGCGAGCGUUAAUCGGAAUUACUGGGCGUAAAGCGCACGCAGGCGGUUUGUUAAGCUAGAUGUGAAAGCCCCGGGCUCAACCUGGGAUGGUCAUUUAGAACUGGCAGACUAGAGUCUUGGAGAGGGGAGUGGAAUUCCAGGUGUAGCGGUGAAAUGCGUAGAUAUCUGGAGGAACAUCAGUGGCGAAGGCGACUCCCCUGGCCAAAGACUGACGCUCAUGUGCGAAAGUGUGGGUAGCGAACAGGAUUAGAUACCCUGGUAGUCCACACCGUAAACGCUGUCUACUAGCUGUGUGUGUCUUUAAGACGUGCGUAGCGAAGCUAACGCGCUAAGUAGACCGCCUGGGGAGUACGGCCGCAAGGUUAAAACUCAAAUGAAUUGACGGGGGCCCGCACAAGCGGUGAGCAUGUGUUUAAUUCGAUGCAACGCGAAGAACCUUACCUACACUUGACAUGCUGAGAAGUUACUA
Molecule: ribosomal RNA, 945 nt
Filed under: uncultured Gammaproteobacteria bacterium
Lineage: Bacteria; Pseudomonadati; Pseudomonadota; Gammaproteobacteria
Description: bacterial SSU rRNA
Rfam family: Bacterial small subunit ribosomal RNA
Source: RNAcentral